This 253-nucleotide ribosomal RNA is filed under the name uncultured bacterium. RNAcentral describes it as "partial 16S ribosomal RNA". It matches the Rfam family "Bacterial small subunit ribosomal RNA", at positions 524 to 776 of the family's 1533-position model. The record is from RNAcentral.
UACGUAGGGUGCAGGCGUUAAUCGGAAUUACUGGGCGUAAAGCGUGCGCAGGCGGCUUCCUAAGUCAGAUGUGAAAUCCCCGGGCUUAACCUGGGAACUGCGUUUGAAACUGGGGGGCUAGAGUGCGGCAGAGGGGGGUGGAAUUCCGCGUGUAGCAGUGAAAUGCGUAGAGAUGCGGAGGAACACCGAUGGCGAAGGCAGCCCCCUGGGCUAACACUGACGCUCAGGCACGAAAGCGUGGGGAGCAAACAGG